GACGAACGCUGGCUGCGUGCUUAACACUUGCAAGUCGAACGGAAAGGCCCUGCUUUUGUGGGGUGCUCGAGUGGCGAACGGGUGAGUAACACGUGAGUAACCUGCCCUUGACUUUGGGAUAACUUCAGGAAACUGGGGCUAAUACCGGAUAGGAGCUCCUGCUGCAUGGUGGGGGUUGGAAAGUUUCGGCGGUUGGGGAUGGACUCGCGGCUUAUCAGCUUGUUGGUGGGGUAGUGGCUUACCAAGGCUUUGACGGGUAGCCGGCCUGAGAGGGUGACCGGCCACAUUGGGACUGAGAUACGGCCCAGACUCCUACGGGAGGCAGCAGGGGGGAAUAUUGCAAAAUGGGCGGAAGCCUGAUGCAGCAACGCCGCGUGCGGGAUGACGGCCUUCGGGUUGUAAACCGCUUUCGCCUGUGACGAAGCGUGAGUGACGGUAAUGGGUAAAGAAGCACCGGCUAACUAAGUG
RNAcentral lists this ribosomal RNA (468 nucleotides) under uncultured bacterium. Its description in RNAcentral is "partial 16S ribosomal RNA". It matches the Rfam family "Bacterial small subunit ribosomal RNA", at positions 28 to 507 of the family's 1533-position model. The record is from RNAcentral.